CACAAGAAGUAUUUUUACAUCACGUUUGUUGCUCGGCAUCUGUCCCUCGCUCUGCACCGAGAGUUUAUCAGUGAUCCCGCGAUCUGAUCUCAGAGAUGAAUCGGUGCGAUAUGCAAAUAAGCUUCAUGCAAAUCAGAUACGAGUGGGUGCUGCGAGCGUGAGAAAGAGGAGUCCCUGAUGGCCAGGAGACCGGAGGCCAGAAGGUGUCCGCUCACUUUGCUGUGCCACUCCUGCGACCGGCCCCUGGAAGAUGACAGAAAGAGAACAAGAUCUUUCAGCAAAGAAAAGAGGUGCGUGAGUCGGGUCUUCCUGGCUCCGGUGGGCUCCAGCAGGUAGAGGCAGGAGUAGACGUGGGCCCUAACCCCCUCCGACAGCACCUCAGGGUGCUCCGUGGACACAGAGGACAGGUACAGGGGGCCGGCGGACGGGUCUGCCUGCCAGGUCCUGAGACGAGAAGAGAUUAUCGGGACGGAGAAUCCAAAUGUGACACAUUAAUGUGACUGCUGACAAUAAUCUGAUCACAACCACACACUAGCAGCUGAUUAUUAGGGCUGGCUAUCGUUUAAAAAAAUUCGGUACAGAUACUUUGAUACCGGUUCCCUAAACGAUACUU
Molecule: long non-coding RNA, 613 nt
Organism: Perca flavescens (yellow perch)
Lineage: Eukaryota; Metazoa; Chordata; Actinopteri; Perciformes; Percidae
Exons: 3
Source: RefSeq, a predicted model, not a curated record